AACGAACGCUGGCGGCAUGCCUAACACAUGCAAGUCGAACGGGAUACCUAGCUUGCUAGGUGAGAGUGGCGGACGGGUGAGUAACACGUGGGAAUCUGCCUUUUGGUUCGGGAUAACCGCGGGAAACUGCGGCUAAUACCGAAUGCCCUCGAGAGAGGAAGAUUUAUCGCCAGAAGAGGAGCCCGCGUCCGAUUAGGUAGUUGGUGGGGUAAAGCCUACCAAGCCGACGAUCGGUAGCUGGUCUGAGAGGAUGAUCAGCCACACUGGGACUGAGAUACGGCCCAGACUCCUACGGGAGGCAGCAGUGGGGAAUA
Molecule: ribosomal RNA, 314 nt
Filed under: uncultured bacterium
Lineage: Bacteria
Description: bacterial SSU rRNA
Rfam family: Bacterial small subunit ribosomal RNA
Source: RNAcentral